Molecule: ribosomal RNA, 472 nt
Filed under: uncultured bacterium
Lineage: Bacteria
Description: bacterial SSU rRNA
Rfam family: Bacterial small subunit ribosomal RNA
Source: RNAcentral
UAGGGAAUAUUGGACAAUGGGCGCAAGCCUGAUCCAGCCAUACCGCGUGAGUGAAGAAGGCCUUCGGGUUGUAAAGCUCUUUCAGACGGAAAGAAACGGUCGCGGCUAAUACCCGUGACUAAUGACGGUACCGUAAGAAGAAGCACCGGCUAACUACGUGCCAGCAGCCGCGGUAAUACGUAGGGUGCGAGCGUUAAUCGGAAUUACUGGGCGUAAAGCGUGCGCAGGCGGUUUGGUAAGACAGAUGUGAAAUCCCCGGGCUUAACCUGGGAACUGCAUUUGUGACUGCCAGACUAGAGUGUAGCAGAGGGGGGUAGAAUUCCACGUGUAGCAGUGAAAUGCGUAGAUAUGUGGAGGAAUACCGAUGGCGAAGGCAGCCCCCUGGGCUAACACUGACGCUCAUGCACGAAAGCGUGGGGAGCAAACAGGAUUAGAUACCCCCGUAGUCCCUGAGCGGGCUGGCAAGGCGCAU